GUCUCACCACACCCCUCUCUACAACCUCAUCUGACGAACGCUGGUUCAAGAUGCGUGUGGCUCAGCACAUAUUAUGGCAUGUUGAAAGGAGGCAGGCAGAUGGGAUGGGAGCUGUUACUUCAAUGAAAGUCCUCGAUGGAGCAGCCGCUGUUAUGCGCCGAGCGGUGGCUGCACUGUGAGUGAUGCAGAGAUUAACUUGAGGAACAGAAGGCCCAUGCGGGCUGAGGGACAGCAGCUGUUUUGGUGGACAAAGCGGAGAUGCCCAGAGCUGACCACAGAGUCACAGGAGGAAAAUCUGUAGGCCAGGAGAGCUUAGUCUAUCAAGCACGCACCACCAGACUCAGCUGCCAAGAGCCUGCCUGCCCCCACGGCUUCUCCACCCAACUUCAAACAAUGAAAAACUGCAGCCUGAUAACAUAAUUCACUCUCUACUUGCUGAAGAAUUUAUCUUGGAAGGUUCAUGCCUUUACUGUGAUUUGAGCUGAGGUGAAUCACUAUGUAAAACUGUAAAUGUUUGAACCAAACAUAAUGCUGACCUCAUUAGAAGCAGGACUGUACUGGUCAGUAAUAAAGUGUAUGAUCA
Molecule: long non-coding RNA, 583 nt
Organism: Electrophorus electricus (electric eel)
Lineage: Eukaryota; Metazoa; Chordata; Actinopteri; Gymnotiformes; Gymnotidae
Source: RefSeq, a predicted model, not a curated record